AUACUCGCUUCGACAGCACAUAUACUAAAAUUGGAACGAUACAGAGAAGAUUAGCAUGGUCCCUGCACAAGGAUGACGCACAAAUUCACGAAGCAUUCCAUAUUUUC
Small nuclear RNA from Suncus etruscus (white-toothed pygmy shrew), 107 nucleotides. The record is from RefSeq and is a predicted model, not a curated record. NCBI's taxonomy places the organism in Eukaryota, Metazoa, Chordata, Mammalia, Eulipotyphla, Soricidae.